Molecule: unclassified non-coding RNA, 234 nt
Filed under: Hevea brasiliensis (rubber tree)
Lineage: Eukaryota; Viridiplantae; Streptophyta; Magnoliopsida; Malpighiales; Euphorbiaceae
Source: RNAcentral
GGCAGUAUAGCAGAGGUUCAAACUCAAACGAUAUAGGUAUCACUGCGGCAGAGUAUAUCCUUCUUCGCGACAUUGAGUUCUAGUGUCUUGCAUAAUCUGUUGAAGUAGACUGGGGUUGCUUGUGACGACAGCAUCUACCCGCUCAAACAACAUUCUUCGCAUGGAAUCCACAUCAUCAACAGUCCAAGCAUACACCGUUUUGUUCCUCCCAUGCAGAAUUCUCAUGAGUUUUUC